Molecule: ribosomal RNA, 211 nt
Filed under: uncultured bacterium
Lineage: Bacteria
Description: partial 16S ribosomal RNA
Rfam family: Bacterial small subunit ribosomal RNA
Source: RNAcentral
GGCGAACGGUCGCGUAACACGUAAGCAACCUGCCCUGAAGCGGGGGAUAGCCCACCGAAAGGUGGAGUAAUACCGCAUGUGGAUACGGUGUCGCAUGUCACUUUAUCUAAAGCAGCAAUGCACUUCAGGAUGGGCUUGCGGCCUAUCAGCUAGUUGGUGGGGUAGAGGCCUACCAAGGCGACGACGGGUAGCUGGUCUGAGAGGAUGGUCA